Molecule: transfer RNA, 65 nt
Filed under: Mandarella nipponensis
Lineage: Eukaryota; Metazoa; Arthropoda; Insecta; Coleoptera; Chrysomelidae
Description: tRNA-Asp
Source: RNAcentral
AAAAAUUUAGUUAAUAUAUAAUAACCCUAACUUGUCAAGUUAGAAUAACCCGCCGGUAAUUUUUA